AGAAUCAACGCUGGCGGCGUGCCUAACACAUGCAAGUCGCACGAGAAAGGGGAGCAAUCCCUGAGUACAGUGGCGCACGGGUGAGUAACACGUGAAUAAUCUACCUCCGAGUGGGGAAUAACUGAGAGAAAUCUUAGCUAAUACCGCAUAACACUUACGAGUCAAGCAGCAAUGCGCUUGGAGAGGAGUUCGCGGCCGAUUAGUUAGUUGGCGGGGUAAUGGCCCACCAAGACGAUGAUCGGUA
This 244-nucleotide ribosomal RNA is filed under the name uncultured bacterium. RNAcentral's name for it is "partial small subunit ribosomal RNA". It matches the Rfam family "Bacterial small subunit ribosomal RNA", at positions 26 to 285 of the family's 1533-position model. The record is from RNAcentral.